RNAcentral lists this ribosomal RNA (253 nucleotides) under uncultured bacterium. RNAcentral's name for it is "partial 16S ribosomal RNA". It matches the Rfam family "Bacterial small subunit ribosomal RNA", at positions 524 to 776 of the family's 1533-position model. The record is from RNAcentral.
UACGAAGGGGCUAGCGUUGCUCGGAAUUACUGGGCGUAAAGCGCAUGUAGGCGGCGAUUCAAGUUAGAUGUGAAAGGCCCGGGCUCAACCCGGGAACUGCAUUUGAUACUGAAUUGCUAGAGUCCAAGAGAGGGUAGUGGAAUUCCCAGUGUAGAGGUGAAAUUCGUAGAUAUUGGGAAGAACACCAGUGGCGAAGGCGGCUUGCCAGAACGCGCUCGACGGUGAGGGAUGGAAAGCUGGGGGAGCAAACCGG